GACGAACGCUGGCGGCGUGCUUAACACAUGCAAGUCGAACGGAAAGGCCCUGCUUUUGUGGGGUGCUCGAGUGGCGAACGGGUGAGUAACACGUGAGUAACCUGCCCUUGACUUUGGGAUAACUUCAGGAAACUGGGGCUAAUACCGGAUAGGAGCUCCUGCUGCAUGGUGGGGGUUGGAAAGUUUCGGCGGUUGGGGAUGGACUCGCGGCUUAUCAGCUUGUUGGUGGGGUAGUGGCUUACCAAGGCUUUGACGGGUAGGCGGCCUGAGAGGGUGACCGGCGACAUUGGGACUGCGAUAGGCAGCAGAGUCGUACGGGAGGCAGCAGGGGGGAAUAUUGCCCAAUGGGCGGAAGCCGGAUGCAGCAACGCCGCGGGCGGGAUGACGGCCUUCGGGGUGUAAACCGCUUUCGCCUGUGACGAAGCGUGAGUGACGGUAAUGGGUAAAGAAGCACCGGCUAACUACGUG
RNAcentral lists this ribosomal RNA (468 nucleotides) under uncultured bacterium. RNAcentral's name for it is "partial 16S ribosomal RNA". It matches the Rfam family "Bacterial small subunit ribosomal RNA", at positions 28 to 507 of the family's 1533-position model. The record is from RNAcentral.